Molecule: ribosomal RNA, 213 nt
Filed under: uncultured bacterium
Lineage: Bacteria
Description: partial 16S ribosomal RNA
Rfam family: Bacterial small subunit ribosomal RNA
Source: RNAcentral
AACCUGCCUCAAAGAGGGGGACAACAGUUGGAAACGACUGCUAAUACCGCAUAAGCCCACGGCUCGGCAUCGAGCAGAGGGAAAAGGAGCAAUCCGCUUUGAGAUGGCCUCGCGUCCGAUUAGCUAGUUGGUGAGGUAACGGCCCACCAAGGCGACGAUCGGUAGCCGGACUGGGAGGUUGAACGGCCACAUUGGGACUGAGACACGGCCCAG